UUUGAGCAUUACAAAGUGGAAUAAAUCCCAAGUGAAUGACAGUGCCUGUUUGUUUCGAUUUCAAGCUGCACUAGUUAGACUGCUCUGGAGCUUCUCCCGGUUCCAAGCUCUCUUUGUCAUAGAGACAACAAACAAUCCCCCCCCCCCAACAUCCAUUUUAUCAUUUUCCUCCAUGGAUAACAAACCUUCCUUUUUCUGGCUUGUGCUUUUAUGGGUAGCAGUCAUACUGCUUCAUAGUUUUACUCCAAACACUCACCUCUCAUUUGUCUCUCUUCUGGAAUGUGUUCUCAUUUCUAGCUAGUCUGAUCACCUCACAGUUGCACACAUGAAAUGACUUUAUUUAAUAGCCACUUAGAUAAUUUGCAUCCUCCCCACAAUGUUUUCAUCUCCCUAUUCCUUUAGCCAGUAGGACCCACAGUGUGAGGUCUGCAUCGGGACCCUUAGGGCUUAUCUUCCUCCAGUGACUGCUCACUGUGAUGAAUUUGACGCUUGAAGCAUUUUUGCUUACUGGAAACAUGCUACCUUUAAGGUGGUGUUGCCUUAAAAUUGUUAUGAUAUCAGCGACUGUUGUGGCAAUGGGGGGGGGCACAAGAAAUAUAACCAGAUGUUGACUAGAUGAUUGCAGGGCACACAUAAGGAGACCAUGACUGCUGUGGCUUCCUGGAAAAACUGUCCGAGAACAUGACAGAUGAUGGAAGACUUCAGAGUGAAUGUUUCCUUUAGCUUGACCUGCUUGUGUCCACUGAUGUCAGUCUUGACACAAGGAAGGACCUGAGCUAAGUUACCAGGACUCACAUGGUGACUCACAAUUGUCCAUUACUUCAGUUAGAAGAGAUUUGAUGCCUUCCUCUGGUCUCUGCAGGCACCAGACUUUCAUACAUGUAUUUGUUCCUACUACACAUACAUACAUGCAGGCA
Molecule: long non-coding RNA, 917 nt
Organism: Mus musculus (house mouse)
Lineage: Eukaryota; Metazoa; Chordata; Mammalia; Rodentia; Muridae
Product: predicted gene, 32631
Exons: 3
Source: RefSeq, a predicted model, not a curated record